UCUUUUUUUUAUAUCGGUCGUCUCUGUUUAUAAAUACACCGACUCUGUCUCAGGUAGAAAAAUCAUAAUCAGUUCACAAACGCUCUUCACUUAUUCAGAGAGCGAGAGAGAGGGUUCGAUUAUAAUGGCGACAAGAGAGAGAGAGAGAGAGAGCAAACAGACAUGAAGAAGUCAGAGGAGGUAUUGUUUCGUGUUUCCUUCUUAAACCCUAAGGUCUUUGUUCGUGUUCCAACCAGGAAGAGCGAGACAGAGCGAGUGAGAGAGCGAGACAGAGAGAGAGCAAACGGACUGGAGAAUUCAGAGUAGCAGGUGUUGUGUUCCAACCUGAAGGACAAUGACUUAGAUUCAGAACAAUUAAAGGGUCGCCGGCGUUCUUACAAUAUCAAACUGGUCGAUUAAAAAGGCGUUCUAACAGUAAGUAACAACAUCAUUCAAACUGAUUGAUUAAAAGAGAAUGAGAGGACUCGUUGAAGCCCAAGGUCAAGUCUAAUAAGAAGGGAUCUUUCUUUCUAUGAUUCUCUUCUUCUUCUUAGUCCUGAUCACUUCCCCUAAAGAUCUUCUUGGAGGUUUGCUUGAAAAGCUUAAAAUUAAGUAUAAGGUAGAAAUCGUAAUGCGAUUUCAGAUACUCGAAGAGCGGCCUGUGAAGAGAGCUAAAUGAUUCGUUUUGCAUAAAUUGAAUGUGUUUGAAAAGCUUGAAGCUAAGUAUAAGGCUGAAGGGAAAGAAGAAGGAGAAAAUGAUGAAGAAGUUGAAGAAUUAGAGGGAGAAGAAUCUGAUUACGGAGAUUAUGAUCAG
Molecule: non-coding RNA, 793 nt
Organism: Camelina sativa (false flax)
Lineage: Eukaryota; Viridiplantae; Streptophyta; Magnoliopsida; Brassicales; Brassicaceae
Source: RefSeq, a predicted model, not a curated record